GGAUGGCAUUCCAUGGCUAUUAACUAUACACAUGCCUCACAUCAACAUGUGCAGUGCCAAGCAUAAGGGUAUAAAGCUCACUGCCACUGGAGGAGUGGAAACGUUUUCUCUGGAGUGAUGGAACACACUUCACUAUCUGCCAGUCUGAUGGAAAAAAAGAUGCAUAUGGCAGAUACCAAGAAACCGAAUCCAUAGUGUCUAUAGAAAAAGCAUGGUGGUAUUGUUUUUUUUUUUUCCAAGGUUCAUCCUAGGUCUUGUGAUGUCAUGGGAGCCAAGCCAAGGUCCAAUCAAAGGCUUCUCAUAGCUCACAAUUGUAAACAUCUCUGGAAGAGCAAUGUUUCAAGCUGAAGCACUGAAAAUCCAGGAUCCUACCACCAUGAUAACUUGAAAAAACAGAAGUUGGCCAUGGCAGUUGGAGUAACCAUUUUACAUUGUAUUGCAUCAAAGCUGUCAAGGAAUAUCUAUAUAAAAAGCACACACAAAAAAAAAACCACAAAACAAUCACAGUAUGAAUGUUUUUUUUCUUUUGUGCUUUUUGUAUAGCUGUUUCUUUUUUGAUAUAAUAUACUUUUAAG
Molecule: non-coding RNA, 575 nt
Organism: Pelobates cultripes (western spadefoot toad)
Lineage: Eukaryota; Metazoa; Chordata; Amphibia; Anura; Pelobatidae
Source: the annotation of a GenBank genome assembly